This 1042-nucleotide long non-coding RNA is filed under the name Equus caballus (horse). Its description in RNAcentral is "lncRNA (ENSECAG00000031176.3)". Lineage: Eukaryota; Metazoa; Chordata; Mammalia; Perissodactyla; Equidae. The record is from RNAcentral.
AACAUUUGAAUUUCAGAUCUUGUGUGGUGUUAACCAAGUUUGAGCACCAGCAUUCCUAAUGUGCAUUGGCCAAUAUCCUGUCUUCUGCUCAUAUAUGUCAAUUUUAGCUGUUUUCCAGAUUUCUCAGAUCCUCUUGCCGAUUCCCUUAAUCUCAGCACUUCAGUCAGUCGGAAGCUGCCACGAGAGGACAAGAUUUUCCUGGCCACAGAUGCUUUUGGAGUUUCCCUUCUACAGAAGAAUUUCAGGCAGGUUUCCAACAUCUUACAGCGACAAUUCAACUUUGUCCCUGGCAUGUAAGAUUCUUCCAUGGUCCAAAUGACGAAGACAUCCCUGGAGCAAGGUUUCAUCCAAAUUCCAGGUGCCAUAUCAUGAGAACAUUUAAGAAGCCCAAGGAGUGGUACACAUAGCAAGCAACUAAGGCCUCCUUCCAAGAGCCAGCAAGGACCUGAGUCCUCCAGCCAACAGCCAUAUGACUGAGCCAUCUUGCAAGCAUUAUGCAGCCCUAGUCCAGCCUUCAGAUGACUACAGCCCUGGCCAGCACAUCCUGACCAACUCAUGAGAGCUCCUGAGCCAGAACCACCCACCUAAAUCACUACCACAUUCUUGACCCUCAGAAACUGUUUGUAUGACAGGAAAGAAGUACAGUCAUAUCUGAGACUUGGAAAUGGAUAUCUCAGAUACGAGAUAAGAUUAUGAGCCCUUAGCCCACGGUGAUGUGAUCUGGGAAAUCAUGGAGCCAAAAGUCUUAUGAGUGUUCAGUUGACAUUCACCUGAACUGCCUUACAGAGGAAGUCUCUAGAUGAUGCUAAGGAAGAGCAAUGAUUCAGGACUCAUUCAAGCUGCACUGCAGGAGGAUGCUGGUGGAAGCCAGCAUAUAAAAUGAGAAAAGUGUGGAACUGAGAUAGACUACAGGCAUGAAAGAAUAGAAGCACCAAAGUUCAGUGAGUGCAUAACUAUUAGUUUCAAGACAUGAUAGCUAUCAUUUGCUGUCCCCAAAACGUCCCAAAACUUAUAGUUUUAAAUUAAAUCCACCACUGAGGGG